UUAUCUUUCUUACGCGUGCUCUCUCUCUCUCUCCAAUUAAACUCCUCUCUCUCUCUCCAAUUAAACUCCUUUCAGUUUCUUCGUAACCUAUCAAAACCCUAAUUGACAGUCAUAUUCAAUCAAAAUUGGAGUUUCUCAUACCUAUCAAAACCGGUCACAUAUUCAUGUCCUUUAUGCUACUGGAUGCGAUUCUCUCAUAAGAACAAAUCAUCCCCCUUUGCACGUUUUAAUUACAGUGCUUUAUGGUGAAACAAAUAACAUCGUGAAAAAAGAUGGAAGUUACCAGUAACGAACCAGAAGAAACCCGUGUUCUAACUCCACUGAGAUUCUUACGGGGCGUGUUUUGUUUACUCGUGUUGCUUUCAACUGCAUUCGUGAUAUUAGUCUACUGCGGUUUCAUCACGGCUGUUAUCUUUAGACUUUUUAGCGUACAUUACAGCCGAAAGGCAACUGCCUUUUUCUUCGGCAGCUGGCUGGCGUUGUGGCCUCUUUUAUUUGAGAAAAUAAACAAAACGAAAGUAAUAUUUUCCGGAGAAACCGUUCCUGCGACUAGGGUCAUUCCGUUAACUCGAUAUACAACUUAAUGAGGCUAUGAAACCUUUAAGCUUCAAUACGACACAUAUACGAUCCAUUGGCGAGCAUACCACGUUGGUCAAUGAGCCCAUUUUUCCAUCUUCAUGAAUCUUGACAAAAGGAAAGUUAGUUACAUCUUCUUCAAUUACUUCAACAAUAUAGGAUGAAAUUGCGUGUUCUGUUGAUAGACACCAGUUUUUCAAAGUCACCAGUGGUGAUAAUUACCAUCACAUCUUUGACGGUUGCAUAAUAUCAUGUUGCGAUCUGGCCAUUUUCUUUUUUUGUUCUUAGGUGAACUUUGAGGAGGUUAAGAAAGAUCUUAAUCUGGUUCCAUCGGUUCCUCAAAAGUCUCUUGCUCACCAGAAAUAUGAAAAUAUGCUGAUGUGGUUAAAGCUUCUGUUAAUGAACAUAUUAAUUGAACCCUAUAUCAUUAUAGUUGAGACUUGAUUCAUUCAAUGGGUGCCAAACUCAUCUAUUUCCAAUUCCACCAGAAAGCACCAGUUUGUAUCAGCAGUUCAGCACCUUCACGGGCUUCAAGGUGCGACGGGGGAUGAAGAUGAGUCUGUGGUACAUAUCACAAACAGAAAGCAAGCGGAAGUUGCACCCAAGAGAAUAUUCUUGAAUGUUGCUAAACCAAGCUCCAAGUUUGUCAACGAGCUGAGCUGCAAUUGAGUUACUUGAGAUUGGCCUUGAAUCGAGCCGAGCAUAGACCUCAUUUAAUAAACAAGCGCGAGCUACGCUUAUGGAGCUUGACUAGGUGCCCACUUUUUUAGAAGUUUUGAUUUCACGCCUUAGUUCAUCGCUUCAUUACUUGCUUGGGUUAUAGAAAUAUAUACAAGUUUGAACAACUACUUAUUUCUGUUUGCAGAUGUGUGCUUUUUUAAAAGUUUUGCUUUCACACCUUAGUUCAUCACUUCAUGACUUGCUUGGGUUAUAGAAUUUUAAGUUUUGAAGUUGCAAUGCUCUUAUCUAGCUCCAAGCUGUUCAAGUCCCAUCAUAUUUCUAUCUAAUAUAGGGUGAUGACAUUGAGAUAACACCAGAUUGGAUAUUUAACCAGAGUUUCGCUGCAUCUAGGCCAGAUGCUGCUACAUCAAGUAGUGUGGAUGCUAGAUGAUCUCAUGGGGAUGGAAGUUAGAUUCUCAUACUUACGAGUUUUUUCGUACUUUUGGAAACAUUAGAUGGGGAAUAUUAACAUUGUUAUGGUCAGACACGACUGAUUGGGUUAUUGAGUCACUAUGUUUUUUAGCGAUGAUAAAGUGGUUUUAUGUUGCACACGCGUACAAAGGAAGAUGGAUGAUUUUUGACGAUGAUAAAGUGGGCGUAUCUAAGAAUCCUCCAAAAGACAUUGCAUACCUCUCCUUUAUUGGAUGAUUCAAAGUUGAGUAUUUUUAUCUUAUUCUAUGACUUGGAUCUUUCUUUUGUCCAAGGUCGAUUUGUAUACAGAAGAGGGAAACACAAAGAUAGUGGAGGGCUCUACUGACUCAACUAGGAUCUUAUAUUUUGUUAUGUUAAAAACGGUUGAUUGUUGAAUGAUGUUAACACAUUUGUACUAAUUUUCAAGAUUGCUUGAUUACAUUUGUACUAAUUUAUUUGGUUCAAUUCCAUCACUCAUAUAUGCUUAAUCA
Long non-coding RNA from Helianthus annuus (common sunflower), 2198 nucleotides. RefSeq lists it as uncharacterized. The record is from RefSeq and is a predicted model, not a curated record. The transcript is spliced from 7 exons. Lineage: Eukaryota; Viridiplantae; Streptophyta; Magnoliopsida; Asterales; Asteraceae.